This 2807-nucleotide ribosomal RNA is filed under the name Lactiplantibacillus plantarum. Its description in RNAcentral is "bacterial LSU rRNA". It matches the Rfam family "Bacterial large subunit ribosomal RNA". The record is from RNAcentral. Lineage: Bacteria; Bacillati; Bacillota; Bacilli; Lactobacillales; Lactobacillaceae.
AGGGCGCAUGGUGAAUGCCUUGGCACUAGGAGCCGACGAAGGACGGGACUAACACCGAUAUGCUUCGGGGAGCUGUACGUAAGCUAUGAUCCGGAGAUUUCCGAAUGGGGCAACCCAGCAGUUUUAAUCAACUGUUACCACUAGAUGAAUUCAUAGUCUAGUUGGAGGUAAACGCUGUGAACUGAAACAUCUCAUUAGCAGCAGGAAUAUAAAGAAAUUUCGAUUCCCUAAGUAGCGGCGAGCGAACGGGGAACAGCCCAAACCAAAGUGCUUGCACUUUGGGGUUGUAGGACUGAACAUUUGAGUUACCAAAGAACUUGAUAGUCGAAGGAUUUGGGAAAAUCCGCCAUAGAUGGUGAUAGCCCAGUAGAUUAAAUCAAAUUCUCUCAGUUCAGGAUCCUGAGUACGGCGGAACACGUGAAAUUCCGUCGGAAUCCGGGAGGACCAUCUCCCAAGGCUAAAUACUACCUAGUGACCGAUAGUGAACCAGUACCGUGAGGGAAAGGUGAAAAGCACCCCGGGAGGGGAGUGAAAUAGUUCCUGAAACCAUGUGCCUACAAUAAGUCAGAGCGCGUUAAUGCGUGAUGGCGUGCCUUUUGUAGAAUGAACCGGCGAGUUAUGAUCCCGUGCAAGGUUAAGACUAAAAAGUCGGAGCCGUAGCGAAAGCGAGUCUGAAAUGGGCGUUUUGAGUACGAGGUUAUAGACCCGAAACCAGGUGACCUAUCCAUGUCCAGGUUGAAGGUGCGGUAAAACGCACUGGAGGACCGAACCCGUGUAAGUUGAAAAUUGCUGGGAUGAGGUGUGGAUAGCGGUGAAAUUCCAAACGAACUUGGAGAUAGCUGGUUCUCUCCGAAAUAGCUUUAGGGCUAGCCUCGGAAUUAGGAUCAUGGAGGUAGAGCACUAUUUGGACUAGGGGCCCGUCUUGGGUUACUGAAUUCAGAUAAACUCCGAAUGCCAUUGAUUCAUAUCCGGGAGUCAGACGAUGAGUGAUAAGAUCCACCGUCGAAAGGGGAACAGCCCAGACCAUCAGUUAAGGUCCCUAAAUGUAUGCUAAGUGGAAAAGGAUGUGGAGUUGCAUAGACAACUAGGAUGUUGGCUCAGAAGCAGCCACCAUUUAAAGAGUGCGUAAUAGCUCACUAGUCGAGUGAUCCUGCGCCGAAAAUGUACCGGGGCUAAGCAUACUACCGAAACCAUGGAUGCGACCAUUAGGUCGCGUGAUAGGAGAGCGUUCUAAGGGCGGUGAAGCAAGAUCGUGAGGACUUGUGGAGCGCUUAGAAGUGAGAAUGCCGGUAUGAGUAGCGAAAGAUAGGUGAGAAUCCUAUCCACCGAAUGACUAAGGUUUCCUGGGGAAGGCUCGUCCUCCCAGGGUUAGUCGGGACCUAAGUCGAGGCCGAGAGGCGUAGACGAUGGAUAACAGGUUGAGAUUCCUGUACUAGUUAAGUGCGUUUGAGCAAUGGAGGGACGCAGGAGGCUAAGAUGUGCAUUCUGUUGGAUUAGAAUGUCCAAGCAGUAAGUCUUGUGAAGAGUCAAAUGCUUUUCACUUUAAGGACAAGCUGUGAUGGGGAGCGAAAUUUAGUAGCGAAGCGUCUGAUGUCACACUGCCGAGAAAAGCUUCUAGUGAGUACUUAACUACCCGUACCGCAAACCGACACAGGUAGUCGAGGAGAGAAUCCUAAGGUGAGCGAGUGAACUCUCGUUAAGGAACUCGGCAAAAUGACCCCGUAACUUCGGGAGAAGGGGUGCUGAUCGCAAGAUCAGCCGCAGUGAAUAGGCCCAGGCGACUGUUUAUCAAAAACACAGGUCUCUGCAAAAUCGUAAGAUGACGUAUAGGGGCUGACGCCUGCCCGGUGCUGGAAGGUUAAAAGGAUGGGUUAGCUUCGGCGAAGCUCAGAAUUGAAGCCCCAGUAAACGGCGGCCGUAACUAUAACGGUCCUAAGGUAGCGAAAUUCCUUGUCGGGUAAGUUCCGACCCGCACGAAAGGCGUAACGAUCUGGGCACUGUCUCAACGAGAGACUCGGUGAAAUUAUAUUGUCCGUGAAGAUGCGGACUACCCGCGACAGGACGGAAAGACCCCAUGGAGCUUUACUGUAGCUUGAUAUUGAGUGUUUGUACAGCUUGUACAGGAUAGGUAGGAGCCAUAGAAACCGGAACGCUAGUUUCGGUGGAGGCGUUGGUGGGAUACUACCCUCGCUGUAUGACCACUCUAACCCGCACCACUAAUCGUGGUGGGAGACAGUGUCAGGUGGGCAGUUUGACUGGGGCGGUCGCCUCCUAAAAAGUAACGGAGGCGCCCAAAGGUUCCCUCAGAAUGGUUGGAAAUCAUUCGCAGAGUGUAAAGGCACAAGGGAGCUUGACUGCGAGACAGACAGGUCGAGCAGGGACGAAAGUCGGGCUUAGUGAUCCGGUGGUACCGUAUGGAAGGGCCAUCGCUCAACGGAUAAAAGCUACCCUGGGGAUAACAGGCUUAUCUCCCCCAAGAGUCCACAUCGACGGGGAGGUUUGGCACCUCGAUGUCGGCUCAUCGCAUCCUGGGGCUGUAGUCGGUCCCAAGGGUUGGGCUGUUCGCCCAUUAAAGCGGUACGCGAGCUGGGUUCAGAACGUCGUGAGACAGUUCGGUCCCUAUCCGUCGCGGGCGUAGGAAAUUUGAGAGGACCUGUCCUUAGUACGAGAGGACCGGGAUGGACAUACCUCUGGUGUACCAGUUGUGCCGCCAGGCGCAUCGCUGGGUAGCUACGUAUGGAUGUGAUAAACGCUGAAAGCAUCUAAGUGUGAAACACACCUCGAGAUGAGAUUUCCCAUUCCUUUAU